RNAcentral lists this non-coding RNA (110 nucleotides) under Dermacoccus sp. Its description in RNAcentral is "SAM-IV sequence". It matches the Rfam family "SAM (S-adenosyl methionine) riboswitch aptamer". From Rfam's summary of the family: SAM-IV is a mRNA element that regulates gene expression via direct sensing of S-adenosylmethionine (SAM or AdoMet). SAM-IV riboswitches share conserved nucleotide positions with the previously described SAM-I riboswitches sequence analysis and molecular recognition experiments suggest that SAM-I and SAM-IV riboswitches share similar ligand binding sites, but have different scaffolds. Lineage: Bacteria; Bacillati; Actinomycetota; Actinomycetes; Micrococcales; Dermacoccaceae. The record is from RNAcentral. RNAcentral also lists the same sequence under 1 other name.
CGUCAAGAGUCUCAGUCACACAAGCCCCGGCUGACUGAGCGGCAACCCUCCACCGCGGUGGGGUGCCCCGGGUGACGACAGGGCCGUGAACGCUGCGGCAAGCGCGGACU